This 652-nucleotide ribosomal RNA is filed under the name Salmonella enterica. Its description in RNAcentral is "bacterial SSU rRNA". It matches the Rfam family "Bacterial small subunit ribosomal RNA", at positions 1 to 642 of the family's 1533-position model. Lineage: Bacteria; Pseudomonadati; Pseudomonadota; Gammaproteobacteria; Enterobacterales; Enterobacteriaceae. The record is from RNAcentral.
AAAUUGAAGAGUUUGAUCAUGGCUCAGAUUGAACGCUGGCGGCAGGCCUAACACAUGCAAGUCGAACGGUAACAGGAAGCAGCUUGCUGCUUUGCUGACGAGUGGCGGACGGGUGAGUAAUGUCUGGGAAACUGCCUGAUGGAGGGGGAUAACUACUGGAAACGGUGGCUAAUACCGCAUAACGUCGCAAGACCAAAGAGGGGGACCUUCGGGCCUCUUGCCAUCAGAUGUGCCCAGAUGGGAUUAGCUAGUUGGUGAGGUAACGGCUCACCAAGGCGACGAUCCCUAGCUGGUCUGAGAGGAUGACCAGCCACACUGGAACUGAGACACGGUCCAGACUCCUACGGGAGGCAGCAGUGGGGAAUAUUGCACAAUGGGCGCAAGCCUGAUGCAGCCAUGCCGCGUGUAUGAAGAAGGCCUUAGGGUUGUAAAGUACUUUCAGCGGGGAGGAAGGUGUUGUGGUUAAUAACCGCAGCAAUUGACGUUACCCGCAGAAGAAGCACCGGCUAACUCCGUGCCAGCAGCCGCGGUAAUACGGAGGGUGCAAGCGUUAAUCGGAAUUACUGGGCGUAAAGCGCACGCAGGCGGUCUGUCAAGUCGGAUGUGAAAUCCCCGGGCUCAACCUGGGAACUGCAUUCGAAACUGGCAGGCU